Molecule: ribosomal RNA, 328 nt
Filed under: uncultured eukaryote
Lineage: Eukaryota
Description: partial 18S ribosomal RNA
Rfam family: Eukaryotic small subunit ribosomal RNA
Source: RNAcentral
CCCUUAGAUGUCCUGGGCCGCACGCGCGUUGCACUGAUGCAUUCAACGAGCCUAUAACCUUGGCCGAGAGGCCUGGGCAAUCUUGUUAACGUGCAUCGUGAUAGGGAUAGAUUAUUGAAAUUAUUAAUCUUGAACGAGGAAUUCCUAGUAAACGCAGAUCAUCAAUCUGCAUUGAUUACGUCCCUGCCCUUUGUACACACCGCCCGUCGCACCUACCGAUUGGAUGGUCCGGUGAAGCCUCGGGAUUGUGGUUCUUGCCGCUUUAUUGUGGCGUGACCGCGAGAACUUGUCUAAACCUUAUCAUCUAGAGGAAGGUGAAGUCGUAACA